This 215-nucleotide ribosomal RNA is filed under the name Glomeromycotina sp. Its description in RNAcentral is "partial small subunit ribosomal RNA". The stretch from base 54 to 215 matches the Rfam family "Eukaryotic small subunit ribosomal RNA", at positions 701 to 864 of the family's 1831-position model. Lineage: Eukaryota; Fungi; Glomeromycota. The record is from RNAcentral.
GGGUCAGUAGGUUGGUCGUGCCACCGGUACGUACUGGUCUCACUGAUUCCUCCUUCCUGAAGACCGUAAUGCCAUUAAUUUGGUGUUGCGGGGAAACAGGACUGUUACUUUGAAAAAGUUAGAGUGUUUAAAGCAAGCUAACGCUUGAAUACAUUAGCAUGGAAUAAUGAAAUAGGACGAUCGAUCCUAUUUUGUUGGUUUCUAGGAUUGACGUA